AUUAGCAUGAUCCUAUUCAUAUCCAAUUAUUUUAGUCAAUCAAACAAAAAAAUAUGUUACUUCGUUAUUAAUAAAAUAUGUUGCAAUUAUUACAAUUAUAAAACCACAGAUGUAUAACUAACAGAUUUGAACACACAAACAGAAAACCAUCAAAAUCAAAUAAUUAACUCUAAAUCUAUUUUCGCACUAGAAGAUAACAGACAAUACAAAAUAUCAUAAUCAAAUGUCUUCUUUUAAUUUAACAAUUUUAACAAUUACUGGGUGAAAAACUAACAACGGAUUUACUAAUAUCAUAACCGACCCGUGUCCCUUGCUGCUGGACAUUCCCAAUGAUCGACAAUGGCGAAUCCGUAGGCGCAAACGCCAAACAAAACUUCCCAUUCGAAUCCACCGGAAUCAAAUAAUUCUCAGGUCGCAACGACAGCGUUUUACCUCCCGCAAAAUUAAAACCCACUGUAGGCACCGCCACUCUUGUCAGCGACGAGAAAUCAUAACAUGUAUCGAAUAAUGAAAACCCGUCCGUAGGUUUUAAAUUUCUUGCUUGCUGAGUGAAGGCGUCGCGUAACGAGUUGUACGCCUGCCUCUGCAACCUAGUCACGGCGGUGCCGGAGUCGACAAUGGCUCCGCCUCUGCCGGAAUCAUCGACGGCGAAGAUUGAUGGCGGGAUGGAUAAUGGGCGGCCGCCGACGGAUAUUCCGGUCAAACCGACGUAUAAAUAUGUUUUGACUUUAGGGUUUCGGAGUAACGGCGCUGUGACGGAGCCUGCCGGUGGAGCGGAGUUGAAUUCGAGAGUGGAUGAUUUGUCGGAAUCACGGUCGACUAGACAGUAGGAAAACGACGUCGCUUUGAUUUGAGAUGGGAGUGAUAGUGGACCUCCGCCUAAUGCUAGAAGCCCGGCCGAUCCGACGAAUAACCCUUCGUUAUCGUGACCGCAACCGAUGGCUACUGACGGAACAGAUCCUGAGUUCCCGAACGACACCGUUUCUGUUGCGAAAUCGCCCACGGUAAAUGAUCCGUCUCCGUACGAUACCUGAUACAAACAAACUCGCCCCAUAAGUUGUGGUUUAGUUUUUUUUUCUUUUAACAUCAUUUUUUUUUUAUUUUCUAGAAUAAAACAUAAGUUGUGGUUUAGUUUUUCUUUUUUUUUUCUUUUAAAAUCAUUUAUUUUAUUUUCUAGAAUAAAUUUAUUAAUAUCAGCGUCUGGAUUUUUUUUGAACGGUGACUUUAUUUUUUAGUAACCCAAUGUCAAGGCAGUUGCGCCUUAAGUCGAGACAAUUGCGUUUUAAUUCUUCAGGUGACAGUUCAUGGGCAUAUUCUAACGAGAUUCCUAUAUUCAAAUGAGUUUCCGGUCAAAUUCUUUAUAUUAUGCCAAGAUUCCAACGAGAUUUCUACUU
Helianthus annuus (common sunflower) is the source of this 1394-nucleotide long non-coding RNA. RefSeq lists it as uncharacterized. Lineage: Eukaryota; Viridiplantae; Streptophyta; Magnoliopsida; Asterales; Asteraceae. The transcript is spliced from 2 exons. The record is from RefSeq and is a predicted model, not a curated record.